AUUGUCAUGCCAGCAUAAACAAAUAUAUAAAUACCCAUUAUAAAUUAAAAACAUUUUUCUGCUCCAAGUAUAGGCGAUAGAAAAGAAAACAUUAUGCUAUAGAAAAAGUACCGCAAGGGAAAGCUGAAAAAGAAAUGAAAUAAAACAUAAAAAUAAAAAAAAGCAAGAAUCAACAUCUGUACCUUUCGCAUCAUGGUCUAUCAAGUCUACCAAAGCACAAAGAUCUUAAGUUUUUUACCCCGAAACUAGACGAGCUAUUUAAGAGCAAUUUUAUUUAGAAUUAAUCCAUCCCUGUGGCAAAAGAGUGGAAAGACUCUUAAAUAGAGGCAAUAUACCUAACGAGCCUAGUGAUAGCUGGUUGCUCAACAAACGAGUUUUAGCUCCUACUUAAAUCUCAUUAUAAUAAAAACUUAUUAAUAAUAGAAAAUUAAAAGACAUUCAAAAAGGGGACAGCCUUUUUGAAACAGGAUACAACCUAUAACAAAGGGUAAUGAUUAUAUUUUACAAAGGUUUCAACCCUAGUAGGCCUAAAAGCAGCCAUCUCUUACAAACGCGUCACAGCCAUUAAAUACAAUAUCAACCAAAAAUAACAAUAAAAACUCAAAACCCUAAAAAUCAAAUGAGCUAUUAUAUAAUUUAUAUUAAAAUUAAUGCUAGAACUAGUAAUAAGAAAACAAAUUUCUCUACUACAUCCAUGUACAUCAGCACGGAUUAACCACUGAUAAUUACCAUUAAAAAGUAUAAUCCUUUUAACAAGCCAGACAACUUUAAACACACUGUUAACCCUACACAGGAAUGUAUAAUACGAAAGAUAAAAAAAUAAAGAAGGAACUCGGCAAACAAAUCAAAACUUCGCCUGUUUACCAAAAACAUCACCUUUAGCAAAAACUACAUGUAUUAAAGGCACUGCCUGCCCAGUGAUUCUUAAACGGCCGCGGUAUUCUGACCGUGCAAAGGUAGCAUAAUCACUUGUCUUUUAAAUAAAGACUAGUAUGAACGGCAAGACGAAAGCUUAACUGUCUCCUUUAUUUAAUCAAUGAAACUGAACUCCUUGUACAAAAGCAAGAAUAAACUAAUAAGACGAGAAGACCCUAUGGAACUUAAAACACGCAAACACUUUAAACCACAAUUUAAAGCUUGAUUACGCUGUUUUCGGUUGGGGCGACCACGGAGAACAAGCAUCCUCCGAGACACAAUUUCAGUAAUACAAAACAAAAAUUCAAAAUCUUGAUAAUAGACCCAAAAACAAUUGAUCAACGAACCAAGCUACCCUAGGGAUAACAGCGCAAUCUUCUCCAAGAGUACAUAUCGCCAAGAAGGUUUACGACCUCGAUGUUGGAUCAGGAUACCCAAACAGUGUAACCGCUGUUAAAGGUUUGUUUGUUCAACAAUUAAAAUCCUACGUGAUCUGAGUUCAGACCGGAGAAAUCCAGGUCAGUUUCUAUCUAUUUAUAAUUCUUUUCAAUACGCAAGGACCAAAAGAAUAGGACCAAUACUUAUAAGCAUGUCCUUAAAAAUAAUAUGAAAUAAACUCAAUCUAUAAUAUAAAAAUAACCCCAAGAAAAUGGGGUUU
This 1573-nucleotide ribosomal RNA is filed under the name Gymnopis multiplicata. RNAcentral's name for it is "16S ribosomal RNA". It matches the Rfam family "Bacterial large subunit ribosomal RNA". The record is from RNAcentral. Lineage: Eukaryota; Metazoa; Chordata; Amphibia; Gymnophiona; Dermophiidae.